UUGCUGACUGCAGCGAGCAGAAGAGGAAACAGACACUGCUCCGCUCCCCACAGAGAUGGCUGGUGGUCGCUUUCGCUGCCUGAGCUGCCUUCUCGCGUACACGGCCGCGCUGCUUCUCGGGGUCUCCCGCCACGGCAGCGAUUCAAACGAACUCAAUUUAUGCCGAUAUCUCAGAUUUUUCAUCUGCAGUUGGUCCCUCUGAUAAGCCCUGCUCUCUGUACGACACUAUUGACACCAGAAACAGCCCGGAUCACCAGAU
This is a long non-coding RNA of Poecilia latipinna (sailfin molly), 259 nucleotides long. RefSeq lists it as uncharacterized. NCBI's taxonomy places the organism in Eukaryota, Metazoa, Chordata, Actinopteri, Cyprinodontiformes, Poeciliidae. The transcript has 3 exons. The record is from RefSeq and is a predicted model, not a curated record.